GUUCAGGGAUGGGAAUCGAACCCACAAUGUUCCGUUUACCGGACAGAUGCCAUGUCCACUAAGCUACCCUGGA
RNAcentral lists this transfer RNA (73 nucleotides) under Cordylochernes scorpioides. RNAcentral's name for it is "tRNA-Thr". Lineage: Eukaryota; Metazoa; Arthropoda; Arachnida; Pseudoscorpiones; Chernetidae. The record is from RNAcentral.